AGCAGCCGCGGUAAUUCCAGCUCCAAUAGCGUAUAUUAAAGUUGUUGCAGUUAAAAAGCUCGUAGUUGAAUUUCGGGGUUCUACCGUUGGUCGGGCUAUUGUCUGUACUGGCGUGUAGAAUUUCUACCUUCUGGGGAACUAUCAUGUUAUUAAUUUAGCGUGGUAGGAAACCAGGACCUUUACCUUGAAAAAAUUAGAGUGUUCAAAGCAGGCUUAUGUCUGAAUACAUUAGCAUGGAAUAAUAAAAUAGGACGGUGGUCCUGUUUUGUUGGUUUCUGAAUCACCGUAAUGAUUAAUAGGGAUAGUUGGGGGCAUUAGUAUUCAAUUGUCAGAGGUGAAAUUCUUGGAUUUAUUGAAGACUAACUACUGCGAAAGCAUUUGCCAAGGAUGUUUUCAUUAAUCAAGAACGAAAGUUAGGGGAUCGAAGACGAUCAGAUACCGUCGUAGUCUUAACCACAAACUAUGCCGACUAGGGAUCGGAUGAUGUAAUUUUUAAUGACUCAUUCGGCGCCUUACGGGA
Molecule: ribosomal RNA, 520 nt
Filed under: uncultured Scutellospora
Lineage: Eukaryota; Fungi; Glomeromycota; Glomeromycetes; Diversisporales; Gigasporaceae
Description: SSU rRNA
Rfam family: Eukaryotic small subunit ribosomal RNA
Source: RNAcentral